AUUAUAUUGAUGUAAAUUAUUAUGCAUAUAAACUUUUCGUGUUUAAUGAAGCGCUAAAUCGCUAUAUAAUA
Molecule: transfer RNA, 71 nt
Filed under: Gyrodactylus gurleyi
Lineage: Eukaryota; Metazoa; Platyhelminthes; Monogenea; Gyrodactylidea; Gyrodactylidae
Description: tRNA-Glu
Source: RNAcentral